UCGUAUGAUGAGAAAAAUUUGCGAUUGAUUCCAUUCGGGUGGCCCUCUUUCGCCGGAGGGCUAUAUCCGGUGGAUAACUGAUAUUCAAUUUCUUACAUAUUCUGACU
RNAcentral lists this small nucleolar RNA (107 nucleotides) under Pyricularia oryzae 70-15. Its description in RNAcentral is "Magnaporthe oryzae 70-15 A. fumigatus snoRNA Afu_514". It matches the Rfam family "A. fumigatus snoRNA Afu_514". Lineage: Eukaryota; Fungi; Ascomycota; Sordariomycetes; Magnaporthales; Pyriculariaceae. The record is from Rfam by way of RNAcentral.